This 1189-nucleotide long non-coding RNA is filed under the name Sarcophilus harrisii (Tasmanian devil). RNAcentral's name for it is "lncRNA (ENSSHAG00000031771.1)". The record is from RNAcentral. Lineage: Eukaryota; Metazoa; Chordata; Mammalia; Dasyuromorphia; Dasyuridae.
GGGCUUUCUUUGGGCAUCAACUAAGCUUCCCUGCCAUGUUAUCCAGCUCUAGUGUCCUCACAGCUCAUGAGGAGGCCUGGAGUGGUGGAGGACCAAGCUGAAGGGACCAGAGGACCACUUCCUUCUCUCAAGAAAGCACAAGCUCUAGAUGGAAGCUUCAGUUCUAGCCUAGAAUGGAGAGUCCAACCAUCAAGCUAGAAGCUCAGCCCUGUUCUUCCCCAUGGACUGAACUACAGAACUAGAAGAACUCUGAUUCUCAGGUGCCCAGUCGAGACCAAAUCCCCUGGCCAUCACCCACUCACCUUCAGGCAGUGAAUUGUUCAGCAGUUGAAGACACAGUGUUCAGUCAAUGCAGAAAACUGACAGAGCUGGGAAGAAUGGUGGAUAGGAAGGGAACAUUUGUCACUUAAAAAGUGCUGAAGAUGCCCCUUUUCUUUGUUGUGCCAGAGGUUCUGACAGGUUGAGGAACCUGGAACCAGUGUGUACCUUUUCACUACCUGGCCUUGAAAGACAGCAGAUUUCAAAUUCUAAGGAAACCGUUUCAUAUACACCCUAGAGAGCAAGCAAGAAAAGAAGCCUCCAAUUGGACAUAUGGUUUAUUGGGGUCUGAAGAUCCAGUACCAAAGCCUGAAAGACUGUAGGAUUGUGAGAUACUCUCUUGAGUAUAAGAAAAUUCACUUCCUAUCAUAUUUGAAAGGCUCCAGGAGCACCAAGGCCCAAGCUCCAGCUUCCUAGCAUAGCCAAUGUUUCUGGCUUUACACAUUUAUCCAUUUAACAAAUAUUUUGCUUGCAUGUCACUGCUCAACAACAGUCCUGGGCCUGGUUUACCCUCCAGGUUCCCAAGGAGUAAAAGUUCACCCGAGUCAGGAGGGAUCCAAACAUGGACCAUUCUCUCCUGCUGCUUCUCUUCCCCCACAAGCUAGUGGCGUUCCAACAUUCAGCUCAGAUGCUUCACUGCUCCUAACAAGAGGCUCCUCUGCACCCCUUAUUCACGGUCAUACCCAUCGGUCACCAGGGACUCCGCUGCUGAGCCCCAUCAUCGCUAUUGCUGCUGCUGCUAAUUCCCUGAUCUGUGAAGACACCUGACCAACACAGCUUAAUUUAUGCAAUUCUGUAAUGGGAAGAGGCUCUUUGUCCGAGGAUGGUGCUGAAAUCACUGCCUUAAAGACCUCUGCUGUGCAGAGAGGGG